Molecule: non-coding RNA, 72 nt
Organism: Ameiurus melas (black bullhead)
Lineage: Eukaryota; Metazoa; Chordata; Actinopteri; Siluriformes; Ictaluridae
Source: the annotation of a GenBank genome assembly
GGCAGUGAAGCUCAGUGGUUAAGCCUUGAACUACUGAUUGGAAGGACGUGAGUUCAAACCCCAGCACUGCCA